This 72-nucleotide ribozyme is filed under the name Rodentolepis nana. RNAcentral describes it as "Hymenolepis nana HDV ribozyme from F. prausnitzii". It matches the Rfam family "HDV ribozyme from F. prausnitzii". Lineage: Eukaryota; Metazoa; Platyhelminthes; Cestoda; Cyclophyllidea; Hymenolepididae. The record is from Rfam by way of RNAcentral.
GGAGUGUGUGAUGGACUCACCUCCACGUGGUGCACCCUGGGCAACGUAUUCUCAUACGGCAAAAAAGUCUAU